AACCCAGACCGCCAGCUAAGGUCCCAAAGUCAUGGUUAAGUGGGAAACGAUGUGGGAAGGCCCAGACAGCCAGGAUGUUGGCUUAGAAGCAGCCAUCAUUUAAAGAAAGCGUAAUAGCUCACUGGUCGAGUCGGCCUGCGCGGAAGAUGUAACGGGGCUAAACCAUGCACCGAAGCUGCGGCAGCGACGCUUAUGCGUUGUUGGGUAGGGGAGCGUUCUGUAAGCCUGCGAAGGUGUGCUGUGAGGCAUGCUGGAGGUAUCAGAAGUGCGAAUGCUGACAUAAGUAACGAUAAAGCGGGUGAAAAGCCCGCUCGCCGGAAGACCAAGGGUUCCUGUCCAACGUUAAUCGGGGCAGGGUGAGUCGACCCCUAAGGCGAGGCCGAAAGGCGUAGUCGAUGGGAAACAGGUUAAUAUUCCUGUACUUGGUGUUACUGCGAAGGGGGGACGGAGAAGGCUAUGUUGGCCGGGCGACGGUUGUCCCGGUUUAAGCGUGUAGGCUGGUUUUCCAGGCAAAUCCGGAAAAUCAAGGCUGAGGCGUGAUGACGAGGCACUACGGUGCUGAAGCAACAAAUGCCCUGCUUCCAGGAAAAGCCUCUAAGCAUCAGGUAACAUCAAAUCGUACCCCAAACCGACACAGGUGGUCAGGUAGAGAAUACCAAGGCGCUUGAGAGAACUCGGGUGAAGGAACUAGGCAAAAUGGUGCCGUAACUUCGGGAGAAGGCACGCUGAUAUGUAGGUGAAGUCCCUUGCGGAUGGAGCUGAAAUCAGUCGAAGAUACCAGCUGGCUGCAACUGUUUAUUAAAAACACAGCACUGUGCAAACACGAAAGUGGACGUAUACGGUGUGACGCCUGCCCGGUGCCGGAAGGUUAAUUGAUGGGGUCAGCGCAAGCGAAGCUCUUGAUCGAAGCCCCGGUAAACGGCGGCCGUAACUAUAACGGUCCUAAGGUAGCGAAAUUCCUUGUCGGGUAAGUUCCGACCUGCACGAAUGGCGUAAUGAUGGCCAGGCUGUCUCCACCCGAGACUCAGUGAAAUUGAACUCGCUGUGAAGAUGCAGUGUACCCGCGGCAAGACGGAAAGACCCCGUGAACCUUUACUAUAGCUUGACACUGAACAUUGAGCCUUGAUGUGUAGGAUAGGUGGGAGGCUUUGAAGUGUGGACGCCAGUCUGCAUGGAGCCGGCCUUGAAAUACCACCCUUUAAUGUUUGAUGUUCUAACGUGGACCCGUGAUCCGGGUUGCGGACAGUGUCUGGUGGGUAGUUUGACUGGGGCGGUCUCCUCCUAAAGAGUAACGGAGGAGCACGAAGGUUGGCUAAUCCUGGUCGGACAUCAGGAGGUUAGUGCAAUGGCAUAAGCCAGCUUGACUGCGAGCGUGACGGCGCGAGCAGGUGCGAAAGCAGGUCAUAGUGAUCCGGUGGUUCUGAAUGGAAGGGCCAUCGCUCAACGGAUAAAAGGUACUCCGGGGAUAACAGGCUGAUACCGCCCAAGAGUUCAUAUCGACGGCGGUGUUUGGCACCUCGAUGUCGGCUCAUCACAUCCUGGGGCUGAAGUAGGUCCCAAGGGUAUGGCUGUUCGCCAUUUAAAGUGGUACGCGAGCUGGGUUUAGAACGUCGUGAGACAGUUCGGUCCCUAUCUGCCGUGGGCGCUGGAGAACUGAGGGGGGCUGCUCCUAGUACGAGAGGACCGGAGUGGACGCAUCACUGGUGUUCGGGUUGUCAUGCCAAUGGCACUGCCCGGUAGCUAAAUGCGGAAGAGAUAAGUGCUGAAAGCAUCUAAGCACGAAACUUGCCCCGAGAUGAGUUCUCCCUGACCCUUUAAGGGUCCUGAAGGAACGUUGAAGACGACGACGUUGAUAGGCCGGGUGUGUAAGCGCAGCGAUGCGUUGAGCUAACCGGUACUAAUGAACCGUGAGG
RNAcentral lists this ribosomal RNA (1913 nucleotides) under Shigella sonnei. RNAcentral's name for it is "partial 23S ribosomal RNA". It matches the Rfam family "Bacterial large subunit ribosomal RNA", at positions 1024 to 2915 of the family's 2925-position model. The record is from RNAcentral. Lineage: Bacteria; Pseudomonadati; Pseudomonadota; Gammaproteobacteria; Enterobacterales; Enterobacteriaceae.